CCCUUUAAUAUAUCGACUUAAAAACAAAGUGACUUAUGCCACUUUCAAAAUAAACGGCUCAAUUGACGUGCCACUGUCUCGAGAUCUGUUUGCUUAGAAAUAUUGUUUUCGAAGGGAAACAAUCGUGUGGAAACGUUCGAACGUGUUCGAACGAGAAAUUGGUGAUCUUAUAUCGAAGAAACCGAUUUUAUAUCGAAGGUUUUAUAUUGCACGCUGCACGGUGAGUACUACGAAGCAGUUCGUCCGUCCCAUCGUUUCGUUCCACGCGAAUAAUGCGAGGAGACCGUUGUGCAAAUACGUUUCCCGUUAUCUUCGAUUAAUUAUUCAGUGAAAGAAAUUGUUUGACUCUUACUGCGUCGACGUAUCGCGAUGUUAUCAAUCCGUCCCAAUGACGGGUGACCAAUUUUUGCAUUUACAAUUAUUCAGAUCGCGAAGAUACAUUUACGUGUCAUUUAUUCUCAAUGUCUUUUGGAAGAAUAUUUUUCCUCUAAUUUUGAUAGCACUACCGCUGCUUGCAAUUUAAACAAAUUCAAAUGUCCCUCGUUUCCUCGCUGUUUCGUUCGAGCUUGCAACGAAAAUUUUUGUGUUUCAUAUCGUGUUGAGAAACUAUAUAAAAAUACAUUUCACGCGUGUCGAAGGUUUCAUUGAAAUCGGUUGACGCGUAUAGUCGAAGCUACAGCCAGUUCUUAGCCAUGUACAAAUUACAUGUACAUACAUACUUGGUUCCCGUCGAAACUCGCGGGGAAAUGCUAUUUUCGCGAAAUUGAAAUUUUAACUGCUCGUAACAACAUCGAACCGAUUUCGAUGAAAUUUUCAGCGCGUGCAUACGUUACCGGGAUGCGCCAAAUGCAUUCUUGAAAUUUUCAUUACCGGCACGGAUGUAAAAGUGCAGAACGGACUUGUUCCUUUACACGUCUCUUAUUCCGGGUAAUAGCAAAAUUAAAAAAAGAAAGAACCAGUAUUUUAGUCGUGGAACAGUCUCUCGAACAUUUCCAAAAAAAAGAAAAUUCAAGUCACUCAGACCAAAUUCAAAAAAGUUACACCGUUUCAAAAGUUGUACUUCCGUUGCUUACUUUUAUCACUCGCGGCAAACGUUGCAAUAACACUCGCUCAAAAUCCGAAUAAACGUCCCGUUGUUGCUCUCAUAAAUCAAUAUAAAACAGCUGUUUCGGCGCUAGAACUACCAAAGCAGUCAAAACGACUGUUCUCCGAUUUCAUCUUCCGCAAUUCCUGACGUUACAAAAACGUUUCUAAACGAAACCUAUACACAAACAUCUUCACUUAGGCUUGCAUUACCCUCGAAAUAGCGCGAAGUUCGAAUAAAUCCCGUCAUCGUUUCAAAACAAUGCACAAAUUAGCCACGUCUCGGGCUCUGUAGUUCGAGCGCCGAGCAGCAACAACAAAACAGUGCUCCGCAAAUCUAUUAUAAAUUCGGCAGAACGCGAGUAUCGAACGUGUCAGCAACAGCUACAAACACACUAAACGCACAACGAACGAACGAGCGAGCGAGCGAAAGAGAGAGAGAGAGAGGGCACAUGAAAUUCGACCAAAAUCGAUGCAGAAUCCCCGGAGACAUCGGGACGACCAUACUUAUCCUCGCAUUCCCGCGAGCUCCGCGCGAACCACCGCCUCGUCUCCGACCUAAUCGCGUCGCAGAAAUUCCUGUUGAUCAUCGAAACGCCUCCGAAACCGUUCAGCAAUCCCGCGGCGAGAACCCGCGGCGGUGUUCCGCCGCGGAAACGAAAAGACGGCUCGCGAAGUCGCGGCGGGAUCGCGUCGCGACCACGAAUGCCCUUAACCAGAAUGAGAAAGUGUGUCGGCACGGAGUGCCGGGACGUCGCGAGGCGGCAGCGAGUGCUUCGAACUGCUCGUUAUCUGUCUGUGGAAGUCGUCGUGCCGUCGGUAAACCGCGCGGCAGCGUCGGCGUUUUUUAAUGAUCCGCCGAACGGCGGAACGGUCUCGGCCGAAAGCGAGAAGUGUCUGGCGCGGUCGGCGUCGUUAUCGGAGCAAGAGCUGUAAUUUUCGCACUCACGUGAACCGGUGUGGCUCGUUCCGUCGCAGCUAAUUAGACGGGGACGGGAGCAUCGGGCCUGGCGAACGCACUGGCGGGCUUCGGGAAAGGGCAGACGGGCUCUGCGAGUGGUGCGGCACACAGUUCACACUGACACAGUCACAGGCUCGCGAGAUAGACGGAGAACGUGAGAGAGAAAUAUAGAGAGAAAAAUAGAGAGAUAGAAAGAGAGUAAGAGAGAGAGAGAGAAAGUAUGAGAGAGAGAUGAGGCGGGAGACAGCUCACACGCGAAUCGGAGCGGGUCGGAGGGAAGCGAAAGAAAGCAUCGAAGGGAAAACGAAGGUGGCUGGCGGCCGCGGGUAUCGAGCGGGACCCGUGCAACGGUGCAUGGUCUCACUUCCGGCUGGCGGGCAUCACUUCCGGGAUGAUUUUCGACUCCCCUGUUUCGCGGAUCGGCGCGCGGAGAAAGCCGAGCGGAGAGGAAUCGUGCGACGCGUGCAUCAGCCGGCACUGUACACGACUGACUAGCUAGACUCUGCUCGCGAGCAGACCCCGCUGCUCUGCGAGAGUUGAUAAAGAGAGAGAGAGAGAGAGAGAGAGCGGGAAAGAGAGAGGGAGAGAGGGGGGAAGGGAGAUCGACGAAUGAACGGGCAGCCGAUUUCACGGCAGAACGCCGUGACCGACGCGAAGCGCCAACGGCCGCCACAGGAUGAAUGAAACGAGCCCGUCGCGAGCACACGUCCUUCGGGGCGCGUGCGUUUUCGCGCGAUUCGUCGCGUCGGCCACCGGCGAGGACCAGCCAGCACCGCGGACACGAUCGACGAGACCAACGAGGACCACCAGCCCGCCGAGCCAGCCACGGCAACUACCCGCGCUGCGGCGCUGCGGGCUCGCACGGGUCGCGGCCACGAACCGCUCCGAUCGGCCACGGAAACGCACGAGGCCUAAUGCGAGUACCUCUGACGAACUAGCAGCGAACGCGGGUCCCUUCAACCCUUGGCCACGAGGGGUGCCCGCCUGCUGCCGCCGCAGCCAUCGACUGGCCUGCUCGAUGCACGAUUUUACAAUGUCACUUGUCAUCGUUGUUUCUUCUGUUGCUGCAUGACUGCAAUAAUUUUUUUCUGACUCUAAAGGGCAACGUUGAACGUCGUGGAAGAGGAUAACUCGUUGCUUCGUUUCAUUUGGCUCGCAUCGUUGAAACUCGGGGAAUGCCGAGCUACGACAGUGACGGCAAUGAUCGACCGGGCUGUCACCGGCACACGAUUUUAAGGAUUCUCAACGUGCCGUCGUUGUUUCGGGAGCUAAAUGGCUGCAAUAAUUUUUUCCUCGCUCCGAAGAGAAGUGGCAAACGCUGUGCGAAAGGGCAAUUCGUUAGCCGGUUCCAUUUGGUCGAGAUGAAUUCGUAAAGGUAACCCAAGCGAAAGAAAAUUUCGAAACUAUGGGAACUAUGUUCACGCAUGCUUAAGCGGUGUUCACGAAUUUUUUGGCAUCGACAUCGUUGGAACUCUGUAAAACGUUCGCCGACGAAAGGAACACGGUCGUGAAUUGGUUCGCGACGGCGACGACGACGUGGCAAGGAAAUUUAUAUUAAAGGAGAUAACAAUGGCGUCCGGAGACACAAUGCGACAAUCUCCAGCCCCAUUCAGUUAGAGUCCGCGCGCCUCGCGGGAGUACCAGCAGGAAAAAGCCCGUCGGAACGCUAGCAUGAAAGUUCCGGUGAUUACGGAGCAAGGACCAUCCGGCCUUAAAAACGGGUCUCGGCGAAGCACCCUCGCAGGAAGCUCCUCAAUUUCCUUCCUCGAAAACUCGAAUCAGAAUUCGCCCAGGCGAUUUAACUGGCGAAUUACAAUUCCUGAUAUCGUGGGAAACGAUUAAGCUGUUACGUUGACGAAGAUUGAUCGUGGAAAUUUCUAUCUGAUCUCUUCUGUGCUGCACGUCCGACCGACUAUAAUGGAAAAUCGUUGUUCUUGUUCGGGUAAUUGAAACGCUGCCGUUGAAGUCUGCGGCACAGAGUUGCGGAAAUAUUCUUCGGGAGUUUCGAGAAAGGAUCUGCAAAAUGGUCGCCGGAAAAAUGAUGGCAGGAUGAAAAUGCCGGCAAGAAAGUAGCCGCGUGCUGAAUCCCGAAGAGAAGUGGAUUAAUUCCGGCACCGAUUCGCAGCGGAGUACGUGAAUCAAGAGGAAAAACGUCUGCCGCGUAAUUCUACUUAAUGGCAAUCGGAACCGCGACGGUUCUAGCCUGUGGCGACGCAAUUAAAAUUCAUUUUAACGAUAAUGCAUUCACAUUCAGACCGGGCCGGGCUAAGUUUGCCCAUCUGCUUUCGUGUAACUGCCGCGGCACUCUCCGCCGCCGGAUAAAAGACCGAAAAUUUCUCGGGCUAUCUAAUGCAUAAAUUACUGUACUAUCUACCGGGAACAGGUUCCCGAAACCCCGGUAACCAAAUAUGAAGGACGCGUGCCACCAGACGCCAUCGCAAACCACGGCGCGCUGAAGCUUUGCCACAUUUUUUAAAUUUAAAUGCAACCCCGGCGUCGAUCCCUCAGGCCACGACACAAUGCAGCAGCCCGUUCGUAUGCAUAAAGCGUCAAAAGUAUUAUACACCAUUAUAAUUUCAAAUUUUUAUUUCAACUUCUAUUGAAAACCUACUAAAAUUUCACCCUCGAUUAAAAGUCUAUUAUAACGCAAAUUUAUAAUGCGAAUUCGUUACGGUGCAAUCAAAUUUCUAUUAAAAAUCUGUUAUAACAUUUCUGCUAAGAACCUAUUAUGAUUGAAAUUGAUAAUAAAAAUUCACCGAUUUAAGAUCAACCGA
This is a non-coding RNA of Megalopta genalis, 4818 nucleotides long. The record is from RefSeq and is a predicted model, not a curated record. NCBI's taxonomy places the organism in Eukaryota, Metazoa, Arthropoda, Insecta, Hymenoptera, Halictidae.